RNAcentral lists this ribosomal RNA (484 nucleotides) under uncultured bacterium. RNAcentral's name for it is "partial 16S ribosomal RNA". It matches the Rfam family "Bacterial small subunit ribosomal RNA", at positions 30 to 507 of the family's 1533-position model. The record is from RNAcentral.
AUUGAACGCUGGCGGCAGGCCUAACACAUGCAAGUCGAGCGGACGAAGGGAGCUUUCUCCUGGCUUCAGCGGCGGACGGGUGAGUAAUGCCUAGGAAUCUGCCUUGUAGUUGGGGAUAACGUCCGUAAGCGGGCGCUAAUACCGCAUACGUCAUGAUGGAGAACGUGGGGGAUCUUCGGACCUCACGCUAUCAGAUGAGCCUAGGUCGGAUUAGCUAGUUGGUGUGGUAAAGGCCUACCAAGGCGACGAUCCGUAACUGGUCUGAGAGGAUGAUCAGUCACACUGGAACUGAGACACGGUCCAGACUCCUACGGGAGGCAGCAGUGGGGAAUAUUGGACAAUGGGCGAAAGCCUGAUCCAGCCAUGCCGCGUGUGUGAAGAAGGUCUUCGGAUUGUAAAGCACUUUAAGUUGGGAGGAACAGCAGUGAGUGAAUACCUUGCUGUUUUGACGGUACCAACAGAAUAAGCACCGGCUAACUUCGUG